UAGAGUUUGAUCCUGGCUCAGGAUGACGCUAGCUACAGGCUUACACAUGCAAGUCGAGGGGCAGCGGGAAGAAGCUUGCUUUCUUUGCCGGCGACCGGCGCACGGGUGAGUAACGCGUAUCCACCUUCCCCUUAGUAGGGCAUAGCCCGUAGAAAUGCGGAUUAAUACCCUAUGUUAUUCGUCGAGGACAUCUGAAGUGAAUCAAAGGUUUACCGCUAAGGGAUGGGGAUGCGUCCGAUUAGGCAGCAGCGGGGUAACGGCCCACCUGGCCGACGAUCGGUAGGGUUCUGAAAGGAAGGUCCCCCACAUUGGGAACUGAGAC
This 322-nucleotide ribosomal RNA is filed under the name uncultured rumen bacterium. Its description in RNAcentral is "bacterial SSU rRNA". It matches the Rfam family "Bacterial small subunit ribosomal RNA", at positions 1 to 325 of the family's 1533-position model. The record is from RNAcentral.